GAAGGGAAAAUCUAUUACAAAGAACAGUUAACUAUAAUGUAGGCAUAACUAGGAAGGCGAAACAAUGCUUGAAAGAAUAUCCUAGGGCUGAGGACGAAAAUCAGGGGAGGAACCACUUUGAAGGAGGUCCUCUUCCCCAUGGCGGAUUCAGACAGUGAAGGAAAAGAGAUUUUUCAGCUCCAUUGAAUGGUGGAGUUCUUCGGGCUGCCUGACCCAGAACAGGUCCAUGGUUGCGGCAAGCAGAGAACAUAUGUCUGCAGGACAGGUGUUCAGAGGCAGCUGGGGCACAGAGUCAGCUUGUUGGCAGGACAGGUGGAGACCUGGGGUGAGUGGUGCCCCUGUUGGGGGUCGCCGGCUGCGGAUCUCUGAGAACUUGCAGAGAAGGUGCAUGCUCUGGGUGUGCGGCAGGGGCAGAGGCUUCUGGCAGUGGUGAGGAGCAAGAAGAAAAACAGAAUGGAAGCCCAGUAACCCCGGUGAGGGUAGUGGGGUAGCGCCUUCCUUCUGCGAUGUCGCUCCUGCGCCCUCUACUGACAAGCUAAACCUCACUCUCGCUGCAAAGGAAAAAAAUGCUUGAAAGAUCCAGUCUACGAAGGCCGAACAAGUCAGGAAAGUAGAUGCGGAGUGCUUAGAGCGUGAAUGUUUUCUGCUGUCUUUGGAAAUUUGUCUGCAAACAGCUCAAAGGUGACAUGGCCCAUGGGCUCGCCGUCGAUGGUGAUGUGGAAGAACACAGUGAGGUUGACCAUGGCUGGUAACAUGGAGCUCCCAGUGGCACUGUCUGCAAAGCACUCAGUGAAUGUUUGGAAUAAGAAUCAUAAGGAAGCACCAUGGGCCUCUUUGUGCUGUGAUGGAGAAACCAUUUUCCCAUGAAACCCACACGAGACGGCCGCUAGGUCGGAGUGCAAUGCUGGAACACCACACAAUCUUGGGGCAUGGGCUCAGCUUUCCCUGCAUGGACUCUCUUCACUAUUUUACAAGCAAGUGAGCUCUCUGCAUCAGAUUUUAAGCUCCUCCAGAGCCAGAACUGUGUUCUUUGCUUCCUUCUAUACUUCUCCCUCAGGGUUCAGACUUGGCCCGGCUGCUCAUUGUAAUGAAAUCUGGGAGUGAAUCUCAGGAAACACCCAUGGUCUUUCUAUGAUAGGUUAAUUUUUUUGUUUUUGUUUUUUUGUAAAAUAUACAUAACAUAAAAUUUACCAUUUCACCUAUAUUUAAGUAUGCAGUUCAAUGGCAUGAAAUACACUCAUGUUACUGUGCAGUCAUUACUACCAUCCUCCUCCAGAACGCUUUGGUUUCUUCCCAAACUAAAACUUGGUAUCCACUACAUGUAACAACUCCCCAUUCUCCUCUCCCCAUAAUUCCUGGCAACCACCGUUCUACUUCCUGUUUCUAGGAAUCUGAUGACUCUAGUGGAAUGGUUAGUAUUAAACUGAAGGUAAUUUUUACUUGAGAUGGGAUCUCCAGUAUUUUUUUGUGUGGGAGGGGCAAUCUCCAGUACUUUUAUGCAGGAGACAAGUUCUUCUGGUCUCUUGAACUGUGUUCUAACCAUGGAAAGGAAAUUGAUGGAGCUAGGAAAGGUCAAGUGUGGCCAAGGGACAAUUUCCCUUCCCCUGUCAUUAGAGUGGGAGGAUUAGAAGGAUCGGUAAUAGCCAUUGACCCUGACAGCACAGUGAAGGGCAAGUGGGACACCAUUGUGGAGACCACACAGGGAAGCCAAGGUGAAGGGCCAUCUGGGGCCUGUUUCUGUAGUUAGUUGAGGCUGCCGUCGAGGCUCUGCUGGAAAUAACUGGGAAGUGCUAUGUGAGGGGCAUUUCAUCGUGAAAUGGCUGCAGGGCCUUGUGCAUCACCAUCUGGGUUAUGCAUGGGCUUCUUCAUUUCACGCUCCCAACAAAACUACCAGUUUGUUGGUUCAUUGCUAUCUUAUAGGUGAGUGCAAUGUGAUUUUAAAAAAGAGGUCAGGAAACUUGCCCAAAGUUGCAGUUUGAAAUGGCAGAGCAAAGAUCUGAACCCAGAUCUGACUCCAAACCACAUGUUCUUCCUACUCUUGUCACUCUACUGCUUCUGGGGUUAAUAAGGAGGCUGCGUGUAUCCUGCCAACUUUUAAGGUCAAGGUGAGAACUAGAAUAUUGGCCUCUGAGAAACCUACCACAUUGCUCUACAAGUCUACAGCUUUAAACUGGAAGAGAGUGCUCGGAGCUAUUGUUUGGCCCAACUCCCUCAGGUUGUGGUUGAGGAACCCAGGCUGCCAAGGCCACUCAGAGGUUGGGUCCAGAACUAAGGUUGGUGCAAAUGUCAUUGCAGGAACUGUCAUGGAAAGUAAUGGCAAAAACCGCAAUUACUUUUGCACCAACCUAAAAUAACCAGAAGUCUGUUCCAAGGUCCUAAUUGGUGCCUUUGAUUACAUAACAGAAGAAGAGCAUUCAGUAUUGGUUUCAUCUAUCUUUGAUGCCCUUUGCUUGCAUUUCAACACUCCAUCCACAGGAGGCUCCUCCCCAGCAUCCUGCUUUCAGCUGGUUGUCAUUUAACAUCUAUAAGAUUAGCCAACAAGAAAAAUGUUACCUUAUAAUACUUUCAACACCUUCAAAUUCCCUACAAGGAAAAAGUUUCUUACAGGGAACUGUUGUCUUUUAACUGAAUCCUAUUAACAUAUUCUGGAUGAAGGAAACACACUUUAUGAGGAGAGAGUUACAUGCAGUCGCGUAGUCUCCUUCUGUAAUUGCACUGUGUGUCUUCUCCUUUUUUGUUUGUUUGCUUUUGUUUUAAGGCAGGGUCUCCUUCUGUUGCCCAGGCUGGAGUGCCGUGGUCUGAUCAUAGCUCACUGCAGCUUCAACCUCCUGGUCUCAAGUGAUUCUCGUGCUUCAGCCUCCUUAGUAGCUGGGACUACAGGAGUGUGCCACCAUGCCUGGCUAAUUUUUCAUUUUUUGUAGAGAUGGGGGCUCCUCAUGUUGCCUAGGCUGGUCUCAAACUCCUGGUCUCAAGCGAUCCUCCUUCCUCAGCUCCCAAAAUGUUGAGAUUACAGGUGUGAGUGACUGGGUUCUGUCUACUUCCAAGGCUGUGCUAAGGAGUAGGAAGGCCUUUGCUGAAAUCUCUAAUUUACCUCUCACUCACUACUUAUAUGACCAUAGGAAGGUUGCUUAACCUCUCUGAGUCUCAGUAAUCCGCUUUGUAAAACAUAUUAUUGAUAGCACUUCCUCUGGGGGUAAUAAGAAUUAUAUGAAUGUGAUAGGUAAAGUGACUAAAAUAGCUGCUUAAUAAAUGUUACAUCCCUUUCUUUACUCUCUUGGACCCCAUGUGAAGGCCCUUUGUGAGGAGGUGCACCUAUUACAAACCCAUUGCUUAACCUAGUUCCAACUGUAUCUUUCACCACAUAGCAUUUUAUUUCUAUUUGCACAGGAGGGAAUAGAAGUCUAGGGUUAGACAGAAUGGCCUGGUUUUUGGCUUAGUUACACUGCCCCCAAGUGUGAGUUCUUAAGGACCUACUGCUAGGGUGACCGAAUGUCCUAGUUGUCCUACUUUGCCCAGGACUGAGGGAUUUCCAGGACAAGAGACUGUGCUGCUAAAACUAGGAAACUCUCAAGCAAAGUGGGACAAAUUGGUCACCCUCCCUGCUGUAUCCAUAUCUAGAUAAAGCCUUCAUUGCUUUCCUAAAGAUAAAUGCCUCUGAAAUCCCAUGCUCAUUUCAUGAUGGAAAAGUAAGAAGAGUGAUCAUUCUGUGCCUACAUAAAAAGGGUGAUCUUAAUUCAACUGGCAGGGACAGGAAGAAUGAGCCUAAUAUGAAAUUGCUGACAACCAUUUUAAUUUCAUUGAAGUGCCAACAAUUUUAUUUGGGGAUGUUUUAUUUAUGGAAAAUUAAUCAUGAUUAUUUUUUUGGCCAUACAGAGUGUAGCAAAGAAUGAAGGAUUCCUGAAUCAAACUUUUCUGUACUAUUUGACUAACUCUCCUAUUUAUGCAAAAUUUCGUUAAGAUAGAUAGGAUUGUGACAUCACCAAAAAAUUUGAUCGCCUGUGCUGCCCCCCCACCCCCCACCCCCACAAUCCUAGGGAAGUCCCAUCUUUUUGUUCACUGCAGCUGUGAAUAAUUUCUUGUGUUGCAGAUGGGGAGAUUUAAGUACAAAAGGGUCUAUUUCGUGCCAUUGGAGUCACAGCCAGAGAAAUGGUUUCACUCCAUUUGUGGCUUCUUAAAGACGCUGGAGAAACUCAGAGGUUGUGGUGAGCCAAAAUCAUGCCAUUGCACUCCAUCCUGGGCAACAAGAGCGAAACUCUGUCUCAAAAGGAAAAAAAAAAAGGCAGGGUGCAGUGGCUCAUGCCUGUAAUUACUUUGAGAGGCAAGGUGGGCAGAUCAUCUGAGGUUGGGAGUUCAAGAUCAGCCUGAUCAACAUGGAGAAACCCCAUCUCUAUUAAAAAUACAAAAAUUAGCCAGGCAUGGUGGUGGCCCAUGCCUGUAAUCCCAGCUACUCUGGAGGCAGGAGAAUCUCUUGCGGUUUCUUAAAGAUGCUGGAGAAACUUGGAGGUUGCAGUGAGCCGCGAUCCUGCCAUUGCACUUCAGCCUGGGCAACAAGAGUGAAACUCUAUCUCAAAAUAAAAUGCUGGAGAAACUGUAGAAUUGCUUAUAAACACGGAUCUCUUGAUAAAUGAAGUAGACAAUAUCUGAGAGUUAAGUACUGUUUUCAUAUUUCAUUUUCAAAUCUUCUUAUUUUCUGGGUCAAUUCCCUCUUCAGACACAUAAGUACUGGUAAGGCUGGAUAAGUGAGGGAGCAUGAAUGAGAGAUAGUUACACUUUCCUAUGUAUCUUAUGUCAGUGCUUUGGGUAACUUCAUUUAAGCUCUUGUAUGCCAAGGCAAUGUAGACACUAGUGAAAGGGUUCACUUGAGGAACAAAAAGCAAACUGGAAGUACAUGACUUCAGCAAAUUCUCAGCAGUCAAUAUUUAAACAGUUCUUAUUUACACAUACUCAACUGGGGGCCCUGAUGAUGGGCUAGCAGCCUGUCAUUUGCUGACUUGAAAGAUUUGUGUAAAGACAAUUCUAGUCAUCAACAGUAAAGAUUAAGAUACAGAAAAUGCGGUUGGGGAUGGAUUUGAUUUUUCAGAAAUACAUUACUAAGAAAUUGAUGUCCUGACUUUGAUCAAUAACAGAAAUACAUGUGCAUGCUUCUAUACCCCUUUAUUAAACCUGCUGAACUGGGUCUGGAAAACCAAUAUCUAUUCUAACCACUCAGUGUUAGAAAAGUCUUUCUUAGCCCUGAGUAGGUCCCUGUCAAGCCUGCAUGAUGCUCCAUGUGCCCCAGGAUUAUCUCUAUUCUGGACAGAACCAUCUUGGGGUAAUAGAUCGUCGGAGCCCUAGGCUUGGUUGAUGCAUUGCUCCAAUGUGUCAGAACAACAUCUGGCUCAGUUUCUCUACCCCAGAAGCCCAGCAACAACUAACUACUAUGAUGGAUUACAGGUGUGGUACAGCCUAUCGCUGUAAUACAUCAGACAUGGCACUCAUUUGAAAGUGAAUUCAUCAAAAGAUGGAGUUCUUGCAAGCUCCAAACCCAAGAAAAGGCAUCCUGUUUAAUUAUAGACAGUGUAACUGGCAUGAGGGCUGUAACUGUCAAAUCGGGGACAGUUUCUAAGAUACAAUCCACAGUAAGUGGGCAUCACUACCAGAUGAGGUUUUAUUGCUGGUCUGCUUUCUUGAGGUGUGAUUCAUAUCUUCCAUCAGCACCCCCACCCCAACCAGAGCAGCCAGACUGCAGUUUGGGCAUACUUUUUCAUGUGUCUUUGUAAGGACGUUCAAAAGCCAUCCCUACUAUAAAUAACCAGAUUCCCUUUGUCCUAAGUUCAAGUGUUCUUACAGUUUCUUUUUCUUCCUGUAUAGCUCUUUGCUCCAAAUCCCCAUAGAACAAAAUGGAACUAUAAAAUGAAAGUGUCUGUGCCAUUCUGUGUCUCAUUAUGUGGUUUAGCUCUUUGGCAUCAGUUCAUUCCGUUAUUCAUUUACUAAGACUGAUUGUGUAUUGAAUUUGUUAUGAUGCUGCAGUUUCAUAUAAUAAAAAAUUGAAUGGUUAAAAUGUAAGGAUAUUUAUUAUUUUACAUGAUGAGAUGUUCA
Molecule: long non-coding RNA, 6078 nt
Organism: Callithrix jacchus (white-tufted-ear marmoset)
Lineage: Eukaryota; Metazoa; Chordata; Mammalia; Primates; Cebidae
Source: RefSeq, a predicted model, not a curated record